CCCCUUAUCUCAUGCCAUAUUGGACUUUUUUGGUUGCCUAUACACUCGCGGACUCGUUGAAUAUGCCGUAACCGCUGUUGAUUAGACGUGAAGCGGUUUAGAUCGGCAAAGUAGGCAUCAAUGCCUCUGGCAAUAUCCGCUUCUUCUUUGAUGUUUAGAUUUAGGUGUCCUUCCUUAUCCUUAUAUAAGGACAAAGUCUUUGUUACAAUAGCGGAAAUUCUGCUUUUGCAGAGAUUGAAAUGCCGCUCCGUUAACCGCCACUCCUUGGACGAGAGAAGGUCUUGCCAUUGCUUUCGUUCCGCAAUUUCCACAGCCGUCCAAAUCUCAUUUUGGGAGUCCUCCCUCCCC
Molecule: long non-coding RNA, 348 nt
Filed under: Arachis ipaensis
Lineage: Eukaryota; Viridiplantae; Streptophyta; Magnoliopsida; Fabales; Fabaceae
Description: long non-coding RNA (AIPA_LNC002027)
Source: RNAcentral